This 579-nucleotide ribosomal RNA is filed under the name uncultured bacterium. Its description in RNAcentral is "bacterial SSU rRNA". It matches the Rfam family "Bacterial small subunit ribosomal RNA", at positions 338 to 916 of the family's 1533-position model. The record is from RNAcentral.
CCUACGGGAGGCAGCAGUAAGGAAUAUUGGUCAAUGGACGCAAGUCUGAACCAGCCAUGCCGCGUGAAGGAUUAAGGCCCUCUGGGUUGUAAACUUCUUUUAUAGGGGACGAAAAAAGGGCAUUCUUGCUCACUUGACGGUACCCUAGGAAUAAGCACCGGCUAACUCCGUGCCAGCAGCCGCGGUAAUACGGAGGGUGCAAGCGUUAUCCGGAUUUACUGGGUUUAAAGGGUGCGUAGGUGGGUUGGUAAGUCAGUGGUGAAAUCUUCGAGCUUAACUCGGAAACUGCCAUUGAUACUAUCAAUCUUGAAUCAUCUAGAGGUAAGCGGAAUAUGUCAUGUAGCGGUGAAAUGCUUAGAUAUGACAUAGAACACCAAUUGCGAAGGCAGCUUACUAUGGAUGUAUUGACACUGAGGCACGAAAGCGUGGGGAUCAAACAGGAUUAGAUACCCUGGUAGUCCACGCCCUAAACGAUGGAUACUCGACAUUUGUGAUAUACUAUAAGUGUCUGAGCGAAAGCAUUAAGUAUCCACCUGGGAAGUAACGACCGCAAGGUUGAAACUUCAAAGGAAUUGACGG